GCAUCGUGAUCCCAGCUGCCCCUGUAUAUCUUCAAGCCCGGGUGCAGGUACUUGUCAAAGGCAUCACGGCUGGUGCUGCUGUAUGUUUUAGGGAAAGCCACCCUCCUCUCCUGUCAAACUUCCUUGACAGCCCCGACACCUGACGCACAGGGCGGUGUGGGGAGAAGCUUUCGCACAGUGACCGGGAGCUCCAUCUUGCAGAUUUGCUUCCCCUCCCGUUACUUUAUGAAAAUGGAUUGUCAGAGCAGCUGGUGAGACAGAAGUGUCUGCCUGCAUCUCAGUGUGGCUGGUACUGUGAUCCACCACCAGUACACGCUGAACCAGGCUCCAAAUGGGGAGGGGGAAGGGGGCAGUUUCAUUUACUGCCAAAACCCUUAAGCAGUUGCUUGUUUUGUCUCUCUGUCUGAGCAGAUUUUUCUUCUUACUCCACCUGCAAGAUUUUAACUUUUGUUUUCAGGCUGCCUUUUUUUUUUUUUCCUCCACUCUGCUUUCUCACACAGGGUGGAGGGAGACAUGUGAGGGACGCACUUGUGGGGUGUUUGUGUUUUCAUUUAUUUAUUUAUUUUGGGUACAGAAAAUGCCUGCCAAGGGGGAGCCUGCCAUUGCUGAGCUGAACAGGAGGGCGAAGGGUUUUGCUGCCUCAGGAGGUUCUCAGUACUUGGAGGCUGAUUGGAAACAUCAUGUGUGACAAUGCACAAAAAAGACUCUCAUCACAAUGCCAAAUUUCAGAGUCCCACCCCAGUACCUCCAGAAGAGCUAAGAACACUGCUGAGGAGCUUCUAAUGCCUGCUAUAAUUUUAGCAAUCACCUCCUACCCUCUGCUGUGCAGGAGAAGAGGACCAGCUUUGGAAAACCUGUCUUGCCUCUUCCAAGAGGCUGAGCAGAAAGAGGACAUUUUUCCAGGUUUGGCAAUAGAUAACUAUGCUAACAGCUCACACAGAUGGAGGAGGACAUACCAGCCUUUUACCACAAGAUAUAUCCCUCUUCAUGAUGUUGACUUCUAUGGCUAUCCCAGUAGGGUAGCUCAUCCCUUCUCAUGUUGUUCAUUCAUAGAUUAAUUUCAAGAUAUUUCAUCAAGAUAUUUUCAUCUAACAGAGAACCUCUGGUAAAAAUACUUAGACCACAAAGAAAUGUCUUUCUAAAGUGAAUUGUUCUAUGUUAUAUGAAUUCAUAUCUAUACCAGUUAAUUUUAGGUUAGAAAUACCAAGUAUCCUAUUUCAGUGUUUCCCUUAUUUGCUUCACUAUUCAUGCUCUCUACAAGAGUGUAAGGGUAAAAGUGAAGAUGCAGUGGGAAGGAGAGGAGGGAUACUGCAAGCAAGGGAUCAACCACUCACAUGCACCGUCCCACUCUUCACUGCUACACAUAUCUGUAGUUGUACCUGACAGACCUUCCAGUCGCACAACACACAUCAUCCAACAGCCAACUUUACAGGCUUCACCUGCAAAACUGCAUCCCAAGCAAAGCCUAUUGCAAACAAAGACUCUAGGAGUUGGGUUCUACUAAGACAUCCUUGAUUAUUCCCAAAGGUGCACCAAGUCACACAAAACCCAAAUCAGUAGACAACUCAGGAAUCUGGUUUUAAAAGCAUCAUCAUGAAUGUUGUGACAAGUCAGCGUAGGUGCAACCUCUAUGUGAAUAAUCAUGUUUUCCAGAAACACUACAAUGGUUUGCUGCAGAUUCCUUGGGCCAGGUUAUUAGCCAGCAUUAAGAGAUUACUCUGGAGUUACACCCAGAUAGUCUGGCCUCACAAGACAGCACAAGCAAGUCACAAAUAUAAAGUGACUAACCAGUGGUUCAUAGUCUGCGACAUCUAUGUCCUUUACUGUGUGCAUAUACAAGAACAGUACAUUCUAGCCAGGAAUUUCAAUAUGCUUUUCAAAUCAAUUAUCUUUACAAAAUUUCUCUGAAGGAAAUCAAACUUACAUAAUAAGAAAGUCAAAGUCAGAGAGAAAGGAGUGUACCUAGGGUCAGAGCACUGGUGUGCCAGAGCACUCAGUCAGUGCCGGAGUGAUAUAGGAAUCCACAGCCUAUGCAUUAAGCUGUAUUCCCUCAUCACAGAUAAUGUAAAAAUAAAUAAAUAAAUAUAUAAAUUACUUCUUCA
RNAcentral lists this long non-coding RNA (2102 nucleotides) under Anas platyrhynchos platyrhynchos (common mallard). RNAcentral describes it as "lncRNA (ENSAPLG00000029205.1)". The record is from RNAcentral. Lineage: Eukaryota; Metazoa; Chordata; Aves; Anseriformes; Anatidae.